UGACCUUGAAAAGGUAGAAGAAAGGAUCUUCUUCAGCUCAGGAGGAGCUGAGGGAAAGUCAUGAGGAGUAGUUUGGGCUCCUGGACAGGGAGGUAGAGCCGACUGUGCCGAGAUUCUCUCUACCCUCCUACCCCAGUUUCCUCCACUCCAGCUUGGCUUUCAUCUGUCUGGAAAGAAAACUAGUCCAAGAUGAGGAAGCCAAGGCCCAGAGAGGAGAAAUGACUUGCCCAAGAGGAAGCACGGGGCUGGAAAGCAUCUCUCCUGACCCCGACUUCUGUGCACUGUCCAAUAGACCACACUGCCUUCAUCCCAAGAAGGAUCCUCCAGACGCCACUCCCUACAACAUACUAGGGCUCUGAAGGAAGUUUGCCCCAGCCUUCCUCCGUCCCAGCUGCUGCUGCUGCCCAGUCCUGGGACUUAGAAGCGGAGCCUGUGUCUGUAGGAUCCCAGGAGGGGAGAAAAAUGUUUCCGGGGAGAGGAAGGAGGUCCCAGAUCCCACCAACGACAUGUCCUAGGGUCAGCAGAGCUGUGCGAGUGGUUCCCUAUGAUGUCACCGUGUCACGUUGCAUAACCGGUGUCACACACUUGAUAUAUGCCUAACAGUUCAUGGGAUCCAUCAGUGGCCACCCUGGGGUGAGGGUUACCCUAUUACCCCAACUUGAAAUAUUCAUGGAAUUCUGCUGGGAGCCUGGAGGGACCAGGAAGUGCCAACAGCUUCGUUUUUCAGAGGCUUUUUCCUCAUUUAGCGUUAUAUUUGUGGAGCUGAAUUUUAAGCACAAAGCUGUGCUUACAGAGUCUGAGGCAAAUUGGAAUCUUGACUGGAAGGAUUGAGGGUGGUUAAUAUAAUUUGAAGACUCCUUGCAUGCCAAUGAAUGUUUGUGCACUUUCUGGUCCCCUUCUGCUUGUGAUAAAAUGCCAGGAAGGUU
Long non-coding RNA from Ornithorhynchus anatinus (platypus), 926 nucleotides. RefSeq lists it as uncharacterized. The transcript has 4 exons. The record is from RefSeq and is a predicted model, not a curated record. NCBI's taxonomy places the organism in Eukaryota, Metazoa, Chordata, Mammalia, Monotremata, Ornithorhynchidae.